This 253-nucleotide ribosomal RNA is filed under the name uncultured bacterium. RNAcentral's name for it is "partial 16S ribosomal RNA". It matches the Rfam family "Bacterial small subunit ribosomal RNA", at positions 524 to 776 of the family's 1533-position model. The record is from RNAcentral.
UACGUAGGUGGCAAGCGUUGUCCGGAUUUACUGGGCGUAAAGAGCGCGCAGGCGGUCGUUCAAGUCGCGUGUGAAAGCCCCCGGCUCAACUGGGGAGGGUCACGCGAUACUGAUCGACUGGAAGGCAGGAGAGGGUAGUGGAAUUCCCGGUGUAGUGGUGAAAUGCGUAGAUAUCGGGAGGAACACCAGUGGCGAAGGCGACUACCUGGCCUGUUCUUGACGCUGAGGCGCGAAAGCAUGGGGAGCAAACAGG